GAAUAUAUAAGAGAAAGGUCAAUACUGAGGACUUUAAUGCACUUAUCCAUUUCUGAAUCCUGGGAAGAAUAUGUAACAGCCAGAUGGAUACUACGACUCAAGUUUGUUUUUCAACUCAGGCAGUGAAACCCUGAAUGGGAAGACACUACAGUAAACAAACAAAAAUGCACACAGGAAACAGAGUGUAAUGGAAUCCCUUGGACUUUCAAAGAAGAUGGAGAGCGCUUCUGCUAAAAUCACCUUCCAAAAUCCCAGGAAAACUUCCGUGUUUAACCGGAAUUCUAUUAAAACUUCCUUUUACUUCUGAUUUAAAUGGAGUAUGCCAAGUAACCCUGGUUUUCGAAUUGGGUGAACUAUUUAAUCCUCCUCAAAGAAAAAAAGAAAAAAACAAAACCAUCAUACAGCACCGAACUGACUUGUCAAGAGAAAAUAUAGAAGACUAUUAUACAGGUGGUCCACUUCAGUUAGACUCUUCCCCUUUCUUCAUGCCAAAUAAAAGCUGGCUAGAUUUAAAUCAUAUCUUUGCAAAUAAGUGUCAUUUCUCUCUUUUUUUCCUGCAGUACCAAAAAUAUUUGACAUUUCCUUAUGAAGCUGUCUAAUCAAUCCUCAAAGUUCUAACUGCAUAAACAUCUUGCCAAGGCCACCAAUGCCCUCAGAAUCUACCUCAAUGCAGUCAAAGUGUUCUUGAAGACAUCGUACAGCACAGUCCCUUAACAGGGCAUCUUAACCUGUUCCAGAUUCCACAGCGAGAGACUCAGAGAAAGUUCUGGGAAAUUUUUCAGAGCUGAUUAAAAAAAUGAUAUGAUCUGCAGACCCAGAAUAAAAGCUAAGGGAUUAGGACUGCUUAACCUGGGAUAACAAGUCUAAGAAAUAAACUAACAAC
Molecule: long non-coding RNA, 883 nt
Organism: Callorhinus ursinus (northern fur seal)
Lineage: Eukaryota; Metazoa; Chordata; Mammalia; Carnivora; Otariidae
Source: RefSeq, a predicted model, not a curated record